RNAcentral lists this ribosomal RNA (433 nucleotides) under uncultured bacterium. RNAcentral's name for it is "partial 16S ribosomal RNA". It matches the Rfam family "Bacterial small subunit ribosomal RNA", at positions 29 to 507 of the family's 1533-position model. The record is from RNAcentral.
AACGAACGCUGGCGGCAUGCCUAACACAUGCAAGUCGAACAAUCCCUUCGGGGCUAGUGGCGCACGGGUGCGUAACGCGUGGGAACCUGCCCUUAGGUUCGGAAUAACUCAGAGAAAUUUGAGCUAAUACCGGAUAAUGUCUUCGGACCAAAGAUUUAUCGCCUUUGGAUGGGCCCGCGUUGGAUUAGCUAGUUGGUGGGGUAAAGGCCUACCAAGGCGACGAUCCAUAGCUGGUCUGAGAGGAUGAUCAGCCACACUGGGACUGAGACACGGCCCAGACUCCUACGGGAGGCAGCAGUGGGGAAUAUUGGACAAUGGGCGAAAGCCUGAUCCAGCAAUGCCGCGUGAGUGAUGAAGGCCUUAGGGUUGUAAAGCUCUUUUACCCGGGAUGAUAAUGACAGUACCGGGAGAAUAAGCCCCGGCUAACUCCGUG